RNAcentral lists this ribosomal RNA (253 nucleotides) under uncultured bacterium. Its description in RNAcentral is "partial 16S ribosomal RNA". It matches the Rfam family "Bacterial small subunit ribosomal RNA", at positions 524 to 776 of the family's 1533-position model. The record is from RNAcentral.
UACGUAGGGCGCAAGCGUUGUCCGGAAUUAUUGGGCGUAAAGAGCUCGUAGGCGGCUUGUCACGUCGGGUGUGAAAGCCCGGGGCUUAACCCCGGGUCUGCAUUCGAUACGGGCUAGCUAGAGUGUGGUAGGGGAGAUCGGAAUUCCUGGUGUAGCGGUGAAAUGCGUAGAUAUCUGGAGGAACACCGGUGGCGAAGGCGGCAUCCUGGACCGACACUGACACUGAGGAGCGAAAGCCAGGGGAGCAAACGGG